CUUGCCAGGGAACUACGAGCCCCAGCUUAAAACCCAAAGGACUUGGCGGUGCUUUAGACCCCCCUAGAGGAGCCUGUUCUAGAACCGAUAACCCCCGUUCAACCUCACCCUCUCUUGUCUUUCCCGCCUAUAUACCGCCGUCGUCAGCUUACCCUAUGAAGGAUUCACAGUAAGCAGAAUUGGUAGAACCCAAAACGCCAGGUCGAGGUGUAGCGUACGAGAGGGGAAGAAAUGGGCUACAUUCACUGAACCAGUGAACAACGGACGAUGCCUUGAAAUGAACAUCUAAAGGAGGAUUUAGCAGUAAGAGGAGAAACAGAGAGUCCCUCUGAAACUGGCCCUGAAGCGCGCACACACCGCCCGUCACUCUCCCCAAAACAAACAUAAAAAUAAAUAAAAAAAGAUAAAAAUAAAGGGGAGGCAAGUCGUAACAUGGUAAGUGUACCGGAAGGUGCACUUGGAAAAAC
RNAcentral lists this ribosomal RNA (467 nucleotides) under Sicyopterus sp. NMBE 1066426. RNAcentral's name for it is "partial 12S ribosomal RNA". It matches the Rfam family "Bacterial small subunit ribosomal RNA", at positions 868 to 1527 of the family's 1533-position model. Lineage: Eukaryota; Metazoa; Chordata; Actinopteri; Gobiiformes; Gobiidae. The record is from RNAcentral.